RNAcentral lists this ribosomal RNA (465 nucleotides) under uncultured bacterium. Its description in RNAcentral is "partial 16S ribosomal RNA". It matches the Rfam family "Bacterial small subunit ribosomal RNA", at positions 28 to 507 of the family's 1533-position model. The record is from RNAcentral.
GAUGAACGCUGGCGGCGUGCUUAACACAUGCAAGUCGAACGGAAAGGCCCAAGCUUGCUUGGGUACUCGAGUGGCGAACGGGUGAGUAACACGUGGGUGAUCUGCCCUUCACUUCGGGAUAAGCCUGGGAAACUGGGUCUAAGACCGGAUAGGACCACAUUUUGGACGGUGUGGUGGAAAGUUUUUCGGUGUGGGCUGAGCUCGCGGCCUAUCAGCUUGUUGGUGGGGUAAUGGCCUACCAAGGCGUCGACGGGUAGCCCGCCUGAGAGGGUGGACGGCCACCAUGGGCCUGAGAGACGGACCAGACUGCAACGGGAGGCAGUAGUGGGGAGUAUGGCACAAUGAGCGCGAGCCUGAUGCAGCGGCGCCGGGUGCGGGAUGACGGCCUUCGGGUUGUAAACUACUUUCGCUGGAGACGAAGCGCAAGUGACGGUACCUGGAGAAGAAGCACCGGCUAACUACGUG